AACGCAUCUUGCACCCUUUGGUAUUCCGAAGGGUAUGCCUGUUUGAGUGUCAUUAAAUUCUCAAUCCUUUUGAACUUUGUUUGAUUGGAUUGGACUUGAGGGUUUUGUUGGCUUGAAAAAGUUCGACUCCCUUUAAAUGCAUAAGUGGCUUAGUUGGUCCCCAUUAAUUGGUGUGAUAAUAUUAUCUACAUCAUAACAAUGGCAAUGUUAGCUGCUUUCUAACUGUCCUUUGGACAAUUUGAACCAUUUGACCUCAAAUCAGGUAGGACUACCCGCUGAACUUAA
Molecule: unclassified non-coding RNA, 285 nt
Filed under: uncultured fungus
Lineage: Eukaryota; Fungi
Description: sequence contains ITS2
Rfam family: 5.8S ribosomal RNA (bases 1-52)
Source: RNAcentral